Long non-coding RNA from Anolis carolinensis (green anole), 1125 nucleotides. RefSeq lists it as uncharacterized. The transcript is spliced from 3 exons. The record is from RefSeq and is a predicted model, not a curated record. NCBI's taxonomy places the organism in Eukaryota, Metazoa, Chordata, Lepidosauria, Squamata, Anolidae.
UCCAAAGCCUGACUAACUGCCUGCACUUUUAAGCCUCACUGGCUAACUGCCUAAGCUAACUGAAAAAGAAUGUUCAGCCAACCCUCUAACUGCCAGUUUGGCUCCGCCCAUCUCCGGUUGUUCAGCAACUCAUUUGCAUUCAGCCAAUCAGACAGCACCUAUGCUAAUGGAUUCUUGAUGGCUCCUCCCCCGGGCUCUGCAGAGCUGUUGCAACUGAAAUCUACAAGAUGGCCACUUAUUAACCUGGCCUACAACUGAGAUCUACAAAAUGGCUGCACACCAAUCCUGCAAGGAGAAAAAAAAAUUGAGAAACUGCAAGUCACUUCUGGUGUGAGAGAAUUGGACAUCUGCAAGGACAUUGCCCAGGGGAUGCCUGGAUGUUUGAUGUUUUACCAUCCUUGUGGUAACUUCUCUCAUGUCCCCACAUGAGGAGCUGGAGCUGACAGAGGGAGCUCAUCUGCGCUAUCCCCAGAUCCGAACCAGCAAUCUUCAGAUCCUCUGAAGAUGCCAGCCAUAGAUACAGGCAAAAUGUCAGGAGAAAAUGCUGCUAAAGCACAGCCAUACAGCCUGGAAACCACACAAUACUCCAGUGAUUCCGGCAAUGAAAGCCUUUUAUGGCCAGAAUCAAUCAAUACAUGAUUACUCAGAAUUAAGUCCCAACUGUUGUCUACCUGAGAAAUAUUUUUGCGACCCUUUCGGCUGAAAAUGUUUUUCAUGACACUGGAGAUAGGCAGUCCCUGGGUUAUGAAUAAGACAGGUUCUCUAGGUUUGUUCUUAAGUUGAAUUGUAUGUAAGUCUGAACAGGUACAUUUUUAAGGUAUAACUCAAGCCAAAACAUUUUUAAAAUUUUUGAUUAGCAUAGAGAAGGUUGCCAUGUAAUAUUUGUUUCGCCUUCUGUGCCCCUGUUCAGAAGAUUUCGCCUCACCUUCUGUCCCUGUCAUAAUUAGAUUUUGAAAAAUUUGGUUUCUUCUGGAAGCAAGGAUUGGUGAUAAAGCUUCAGUGGAGAUCCCUUUUUUCAUGAUAACUCUUACAGUAGUGAAUUUCCCUCCCUAGGGGUUGAUUACCUUCUCUUCCUGUCAUCUUACUCCCAUUUGUAAUUAGGAGUCAUAUGUAAGUUGGAAUGUU